Molecule: long non-coding RNA, 587 nt
Organism: Poecilia latipinna (sailfin molly)
Lineage: Eukaryota; Metazoa; Chordata; Actinopteri; Cyprinodontiformes; Poeciliidae
Exons: 3
Source: RefSeq, a predicted model, not a curated record
UAUGUAUGUAGCAGGAAGAAGCCUGCCUCAAUAUUCAAAACACCUGGCCCCUAAUCACCUCAUGAUGGGUGGAGAGUAUAUAGGGAGACUCUCUCACCUGGUUGCUUAUGCUAGCAUUUGCUCACGCAUCGCUGGGAAGGUUGCUUGGGUAGCGUGCAGGUCUUACACUCUAACAUCAGUAAGUAAUGUUUCUCCUUCUGCAUAAGAUCUACAAAUUCAGUGUUUGACUUGAAUUGUUAAAAUCUAGAAACCACUGGAAGUCUCCUGCUUGGUACUGGGGUGUGGCUGUAAUUCACCCUCCCCAGUGCAGUUUUCACAUAAAACGGAACAUAUUGGAAAGCUGAUCCUCCUGCUGUGGGCCGGAAAGGAUCCUCUGGUUUGAGGUGAAGUCAUCCAGCUCUGGCUGAGAGCUGAAGGUAGUGGGAGGGGCCUCCUGGGAGACUGGAACUGUGUGUCGUGCGAGUGCCCGGUGUUGGGAUUUCUUCACGAUUGAAUGCCUGUUCACAAGUGUUUGGGGUGAUUUAUUUUGGAUUUAUACAUUUGUUAGGAACCAGUUCCCAUUUGGACCGCCCUCCCCCUGCUGGUAG